CCUACGGCGGGCAGCAGUGGGGAAUAUUGGGCAAUGGGCGCAAGCCUGACACAGCAACGCCGCGUGAAGGAAGAAGGCUUUCGGGUUGUAAACUUCUUUUAAGAGGGAAGAGCAGAAGACGGUACCUCUUGAAUAAGCCACGGCUAACUACGUGCCAGCAGCCGCGGUAAUACGUAGGUGGCAAGCGUUGUCCGGAUUUACUGGGUGUAAAGGGCGUGCAGCCGGGAAGACAAGUCAGAUGUGAAAGCCCGCGGCUCAACCGCGGAACUGCAUUUGAAACUGUUUUUCUUGAGUACCGGAGAGGUCAUCGGAAUUCCUUGUGUAGCGGUGAAAUGCGUAGAUAUAAGGAAGAACACCAGUGGCGAAGGCGGAUGACUGGACGGCAACUGACGGUGAGGCGCGAAAGCGUGGGGAGCAAACAGGAUUAGAUACCCUUGUAGUC
RNAcentral lists this ribosomal RNA (442 nucleotides) under uncultured bacterium. RNAcentral describes it as "partial 16S ribosomal RNA". It matches the Rfam family "Bacterial small subunit ribosomal RNA", at positions 338 to 795 of the family's 1533-position model. The record is from RNAcentral.